Molecule: ribosomal RNA, 253 nt
Filed under: uncultured bacterium
Lineage: Bacteria
Description: partial 16S ribosomal RNA
Rfam family: Bacterial small subunit ribosomal RNA
Source: RNAcentral
GACAGAGGAUGCAAGCGUUAUCCGGAAUGAUUGGGCGUAAAGCGUCUGUAGGUGGCUUCUUAAGUCCGCUGUCAAAUCCCAGGGCUUAACCCUGGCCAGGCGGUGGAGACUACUAAGCUUGAGUACGGUAGGGGCAGAGGGAAUUUCCGGUGGAGCGGUGAAAUGCGCAGAUAUCAGGAGGAACACCGGUGGCGAAGGCGGAUCUCUGGGCCAUUACUGACGCUGAGGAGCGAAAGCGUGGGGAGCGAACAGG